GACGAACGCUGGCGGCGUGCUUAACACAUGCAAGUCGAACGGUGAAGCGCCUUCCUUUUUGGUGGGUGUGGAUGAGUGGCGAACGGGUGAGUAACACGUGAGUAACCUGCCCCCUUCUUCUGGAUAACCGCAUGAAAGUGUGGCUAAUACGGGAUAUUCUGGGUCUGUCGCAUGAUGGGUCUGGGAAAGAUAUUGUUUCGGUGGGGGAUGGGCUCGCGGCCUAUCAGCUUGUUGGUGGGGUGAUGGCCUACCAAGGCGGUGACGGGUAGCCGGCCUGGGAGGGUGGACGGUCACACUGGGACUGAGGCACGGCCCAGACUCCUACGGGAGGCAGCAGUGGGGAAUAUUGCACAGUGGGCGCAAGCCUGAUGCAGCGACGCCGCGUGAGGGAUGGAGGCCUUCGGGUUGUGAACCUCUUUCGCCAGUGAAGCAGGCCUGCCUCGUUUGUGGGUGGGUUGACGGUAGCUGGAUAAGAAGCGCCGGCUAACUACGUG
Molecule: ribosomal RNA, 494 nt
Filed under: uncultured bacterium
Lineage: Bacteria
Description: partial 16S ribosomal RNA
Rfam family: Bacterial small subunit ribosomal RNA
Source: RNAcentral